AACGAACGCUGGCGGCAUGCCUAACACAUGCAAGUCGAACGAGAAAGUACUUCGGUACGAGUAGAGUGGCGCACGGGUGAGUAACACGUAGGUGACCUACCAUUUGGGCGGGGGAUAACCCGAAGAAAUUCGGGCUAAUACCGCGUACGUCCCACAAUUUUGAAUAUAGUGGGAGAAAGCAUGCCUCUGCUUGCAAGCAUGUGCCGAAUGAUGGGCCUGCGGAACAUUAGCUUGAUGGUGGGGUAACGGCCUACCAUGGCUACGAUGUUUAGCUGGUCUGAGAGGAUGAUCAGCCACACUGGAACUGAGACACGGUCCAG
This 320-nucleotide ribosomal RNA is filed under the name uncultured Bacteriovorax sp. Its description in RNAcentral is "bacterial SSU rRNA". It matches the Rfam family "Bacterial small subunit ribosomal RNA", at positions 29 to 334 of the family's 1533-position model. The record is from RNAcentral. Lineage: Bacteria; Pseudomonadati; Bdellovibrionota; Bacteriovoracia; Bacteriovoracales; Bacteriovoracaceae.